AUUGAACGCUGCGGCAUGCUUUACACCUGCAAGUCGAACGGCAGCGCGGGCUUCGGCCUGGCGGCGAGUGGCGAACGGGUGAGUAAUGCAUCGGAACGUGCCCAGUAGUGGGGGAUAGCCCGGCGAAAGCCGGAUUAAUACCGCAUACGACCUGAGGGUGAAAGCGGGGGACCGAAAGGCCUCGCGCUAUUGGAGCGGCCGAUGUCGGAUUAGCUAGUUGGUGGGGUAAAGGCUUACCAAGGCGACGAUCCGUAGCUGGUCUGAGAGGACGACCAGCCACACUGGGACUGAGACACGGCCCAGACUCCUACGGGAGGCAGCAGUGGGGAAUUUUGGACAAUGGGGGCAACCCUGAUCCAGCCAUGCCGCGUGCGGGAAGAAGGCCUUCGGGUUGUAAACCGCUUUUGUUCGGGAAGAAAUCCUCUGGGCUAAUACCCCGGGGGGAUGACGGUACCGGAAGAAUAAGCACCGGCUAACUACGUG
RNAcentral lists this ribosomal RNA (483 nucleotides) under uncultured bacterium. Its description in RNAcentral is "partial 16S ribosomal RNA". It matches the Rfam family "Bacterial small subunit ribosomal RNA", at positions 28 to 507 of the family's 1533-position model. The record is from RNAcentral.